GGACUGGUAUUGACGCUGAGUGUUGCGGUGCUUAGCGCUCACGCCGGCUGAUUUAAGGUAAGGAAGGGGAGGGUAGGUAAAUGAGGGCAAGACUGGAAUAUGUGCUAUGGCCGGGCGAGCUGGCGGCCAAAACGACUGAAAAGCUGGGCGCUACGGCACUUGGUCUUAUAAGGAGCACUUAUGGCUUGCUGGAUAGCCGGCGUCUUGCACAGACGCUGGAAGCCAACCAUGUGCAGAACCUUACCAGCGU
This 250-nucleotide ribosomal RNA is filed under the name uncultured Sphingomonas sp. Its description in RNAcentral is "partial 16S rRNA". Lineage: Bacteria; Pseudomonadati; Pseudomonadota; Alphaproteobacteria; Sphingomonadales; Sphingomonadaceae. The record is from RNAcentral.